This 260-nucleotide ribosomal RNA is filed under the name uncultured bacterium. RNAcentral describes it as "partial 16S ribosomal RNA". It matches the Rfam family "Bacterial small subunit ribosomal RNA", at positions 1066 to 1327 of the family's 1533-position model. The record is from RNAcentral.
CGUGAGAUGUUGGGUUAAGUCCCGCAACGAGCGCAACCCUUAUUGUUAGUUGCCAUCAUUUAGUUGGGCACUCUAGCGAGACUGCCGGUGACAAACCGGAGGAAGGUGGGGAUGACGUCAAAUCAUCAUGCCCCUUAUGACCUGGGCUACACACGUGCUACAAUGGGAAGUACAACGAGUCGCUAGACCGCGAGGUCAUGCAAAUCUCUUAAAGCUUCUCUCAGUUCGGAUUGCAGGCUGCAACUCGCCUGCAUGAAGUC